RNAcentral lists this ribosomal RNA (832 nucleotides) under Clostridioides difficile. RNAcentral describes it as "partial 23S ribosomal RNA". It matches the Rfam family "Bacterial large subunit ribosomal RNA", at positions 354 to 1189 of the family's 2925-position model. The record is from RNAcentral. Lineage: Bacteria; Bacillati; Bacillota; Clostridia; Peptostreptococcales; Peptostreptococcaceae.
ACCACAGAAGGUAAUAGUCCUGUAUGUUAAACGAGAAGACUUUAGAUAUGAUCCAGAGUACCACGGGACACGUGAAACCCUGUGGGAAGCAGGAGGGACCACCCUCCAAGGCUAAAUACUACCUAGUGACCGAUAGCGUAUAGUACCGUGAGGGAAAGGUGAAAAGAACCCCGGGAGGGGAGUGAAAUAGAACCUGAAACCCUGCACUUACAAGCUGUGGAAGCACAUUUCUUGUGUGACCGCGUACUUUUUGUAGAACGGGCCAACGAGUUACGUUAAGUAGCAAGGUUAAGCACUUAAGGUGCGGAGCCGUAGCGAAAGCGAGUUUUAACUGAGCGUUCAGUUACUUGACGUAGACCCGAAACCGGGCGACCUACCCAUGAGCAGGAUGAAGCGAAAGUAAAAUUUCGUGGAGGUCCGAACCCACGAGCGUUGAAAAGCUCGGGGAUGACUUGUGGGUAGCGGUGAAAUUCCAAUCGAGCCCGGAGAUAGCUGGUUCUCCCCGAAAUAGCUUUAGGGCUAGCCUCAAGGUGAGAGAUACGGAGGUAGAGCACUGAAUGUCCUAGGGGGUAUUGCACCUACCGAAGACUAUCAAACUCCGAAUGCCGUCAUCUUAUACUUGGGAGUCAGACUGUGGGUGAUAAGAUUCAUAGUCGAAAGGGCAACAGCCCAGAUCGUCAGCUAAGGUCCCUAAAUGUAAGUUAAGUGGUAAAGGAUGUGGGAUUGCACAGACAACCAGGAUGUUGGCUUAGAAGCAGCCACUCAUUCAAAGAGUGCGUAAUAGCUCACUGGUCGAGUGAUCCUGCGCCGAAGAUUUCCGGGGCUAAAACUU